UGUUAGAAGCUGCCAGAAGCUUCCCCUGUCCCAUGGAGCCACUGCCAGCCGGCUCCAGGACGGGCUUCCUGCCACUGGCCAAGGCCGAGUCAAUCAGGAGUGAUAGUAACGCCUCUGUGAUAACAUAUUUAAGAACAGAAGGUUGUUGUGCAGAAAGAAUUCCAGCCAGGGAAGAGCAGAGCGAGAACAUGGGAACAACAAGGCAGACACCAAGGUCAGUGCAGAAGGAGGGGCAGGAGAUGCUCCAGGUACCGGAGCUGAGGCCCUGCAGCCCGUGGUGCAAACCAUGGUGGAGCAGCUGUGCCCCUGCAGCCCAUGGAGGACCACUGGGGUGCAGAGACCCACCUGCAGCCCAUGGGGGAGCCGAUGCUGGAGCAGGUGGAUGCAUGAAGGAGGCUGUGAUCCCAUGGGAGGCCCAAGGCAGAGCAGGGUCCUGCCAGAGACCUGCAGCCCAUGCAGAGGGAAGCCCACGCUGGAGCAGGUUUUUCCCAGUUGCAGAGGGAGAGUGAGAGAUUGGCUUUAGUGGGUACCUGGCAUCUGGCUACGGUCAACCCUCUACAGACAAGAAGUGACACCUGAUUAAAGAUGCAAACUCAGACAGUGAUCUCUGUCUUUGCAGAUUGCUACACCAAGGCCACCAGAGCCAUGCAUGGUCUUGUAUGGAGAUCAACGUAGCUACUGCUGCUCUGAAGUAUUUUUUUUUUUUUAAAGUCUCAUUUUCAAAAACAGAAACUGAAAUUGAACUUUCUAAACAUGAAUUUGAAGCAUCUGCUUUUGGGAACACAAGCACCUAUUUCACACUUAGCGACAAAUCAGCAAGUCAAAGUGCGAAGAAAACAAAUUUAGCAGAUUGAAAAGUAUGAACAUUUACUUGAAGACAGCAGACACAUCCUCAUUUUUGAGCACAUCGACAGCAUCCUGAUUAUUUUGGGAUACAUUAGCAAGGAACAGCUGUGUCUCUGUAACUAGGAAGCCUUAACUUCCUGUUGGAGCUCUAUGAAAAAUAAAAGAUGCCACUGGAAAUACAUUUAUGGAGUUAUCUGUGAUGGGGAAUAGGGAAUGGUUUCAAUGUUGGACUGUGGUGACACCUCUGAAAGUAAG
Molecule: long non-coding RNA, 1101 nt
Organism: Pseudopipra pipra
Lineage: Eukaryota; Metazoa; Chordata; Aves; Passeriformes; Pipridae
Exons: 3
Source: RefSeq, a predicted model, not a curated record